This is a non-coding RNA of Paramuricea clavata, 1490 nucleotides long. The record is from the annotation of a GenBank genome assembly. Lineage: Eukaryota; Metazoa; Cnidaria; Anthozoa; Malacalcyonacea; Plexauridae.
GGAGCCCAAUAACGUGUUGUAUAUCUUAGAACAAGCUAUUCAUUUUGAUGAGAAACAUUUAGAAAUUAAAUCUUGGGAGUUUAUAGACUGGAACACUAACGACAUUGUGGUAUUGGAAUGUUUCAAUUUGAUUAGCCAUAAAUCAUUAGCUUGUUUGCUCAAGCGGGACAGCUUGGCUAUUAAAGAAGUUGAACUUUUUAAAGCUGUUUUAAAAUGGAUCGACUACCAAUGUUCACAGAAAGGUUUAGAUACAACAAGGGAGAACAGGAGAUUCGUUAUUGGCGAUGCGAUAUACGAUCUAAGAUUUCUUGCUAUGCGUGAGGACGGAUUCGCAAAAUAUGUUGCUACAUCUGGACUGCUUACGGCUGAAGAAAUCGUUUCAAUUUAUAAUAAAUUAAAUAAUAUUGAAUCACCUGAUCUAAAGUGGAAGCUAUCAAGAAGCCGUAUUAACAAUGAAAAAUCAAGAGCUAUAAUUAGAGAAUGUAAGUCUCGAAUCAGUCGAAUGAAACGCUUGAGACGGCAACAGGAGUCUCUGUUAGCGCAAUUGCAAUAGCGAAAAUAGCGAGGCAUUUGAACUACAGUUAGCAAUAGUAGAAAUAGCAAAACUAUAUUUUUUAUACGAUCUCCCAAUUUAAAAGUACAAAUCAGCAUUGAGAUUAUGAGGACAAGAACCACAUUUACAUUGGACGGCUCAAUCAAUUCUAAACUAUUCUUCCUGGAAAUUCUGAAGUUCAAUAAGGCCAUACCUAGCUUUAUACGCAAUAUUGCUCUAGUGAGUAGUGAGUAGUGUUAUUACAGGAGGAAACAUAAACCACACAUAAUUUAUUAAUACUGGAUAGUCUACAUGAGUUCUAAACUGUUCUCCCUGGCGAUCUGAGGAGACCUGUAUGCAAACUUGACUCAUUUUAUUUAUUUAUACAGUUCGUAUAUUGGAUAGCUCCAUGACCAUGUAGUACAAAUUCUAAACUGUUCUCACUAGAGGUCCAGUAUUGAGGGUCAUUAUUAUUGUCACAUGAUAUUACCAGACGAAAACCUAUCUUAUUUACACUGGAUAGUUCUAUCAGUUUUGAUGUCUAAUUUUUGAUGUUUAAACUGAAGAACUAAAAGAACCCAGUUUAAUAGUUACCGAACACGGCAGCAGAGUUUGGUUGUGACUAAAAGCUCACAUGAAGGCGAAAUUCUAAUCAUGUUCCACAAUCGGAAAUUACCGAUUACAAAUUCAUGCAACAAUCUGGCCGAUACUGAUGUACCAAUAUCGAUUUUAAAACAUGAGCAGCAGUGUUUUAUCAGAUAUAAAGAUUCGAGGCGAAGCCGAGUAUCACUUUACGACUUUAGGUCUGAUAAAACACGCACUGCGAAUGUUUUAAAUUGCUCAAAAACGCAGCAAUUAUCUAAUCUUGAGUAAGAAAUUAGUCACGUGCAUACGUCUUUAUACCAGCUAAAGAACACUUUAACAAAAGACCAUUGUUAUGCAAACUAUAUAAAGAUUU